AUAGAGACUUUCACACCUUUGCACUCUGAUAAGAAGAAUAUUAUUACCCUCCCAGUGGCCUGGACAGAUAAGAGGUUUAGGGCGGGCAGUCUGCAUUUUUUUCAAGCUCUCUUUAUGCUGCACCAGUAUCUCCAGAUGCCUUCUCCAGGGAACUAAGCUGCUUACUGUUUAAAACUGCAAAGAGCAAUGGAGAGUUUAAGCAAAGACCAUCCUUCUCCGGAUUCUUCCCUGCCACGCUCUGCAGCCCGUGAGGAGUAUGCUGUGCCAGAUGUCAUCAUAACGCACCGCUUGAGGGACCGGGAGCUGCUCAGAAAAAGAAAAGCAGAAGCCCUGGAGAAAGAUUCGACUCAGUGGGUUCUGAGGGUGCAUAAGAACCAACAGCAAAAGAGAGGCAGAGGAGCCAAAAGAGGACGGGGCCGUCAGCCAGAGGUGAAGGCCACCCUAGACCCGGAACCAACCACAGACCCCCAGCCUGAGCUGCAGGAGGAGGCUGAACCAGUGCACUCUGAGCCAGCACUGCCUGAACCAGUGCACUCUGAGCCAGCACUGCCUGAACCAGUGUACCAAGAACAGCUGCCCAUGCUGACCAUCCACAACCCAGUCAGUGGGAUGCAACCAGUAGCAGUGGAAGAGGAGCCAGCAGCCAGGAGCUUGGAUCCUGCAGGUGAAGAGGAGGUGGUGAAACCAACAGAAGCAGAAAUACUGGAAGAUUUCAAUACUCCUCUGGAAAACGACCACCAGGAUAACGAAUUCAACACACAUGUUCUGUAUUAAUCACAAAUCUUCAUUCACGAAGCCUAGGCACAAUGAUCUGUAUUGAUUUUCUGAUUGUUUGGGGAUUUUACUUAUUUUGACUCCUGCCUCACAAACUCUGAUGAAUACUGCAGCAGCUUCUUUCUCAUUAGUCAUAAAGCCCACAUUCUCCUUGUCACUCUGCUUUCUGUGACUCUUUCAGGUUACAGUGUGGUCGACUGUACAGAGGCAGUCCUUUGGGAGUUGCCUGCUGCCUGUGGCUUAUGAGCCCCCUGCUCUCUCUGCAGACAGGUUGUCUCAUUCAGGCCCACAGAAAGCUUCAUGGUGUCCUGCCACAGCACAGGUUAAGCAUACAGUCCAGCAUCCAUCCUUCUGAAAGCCAUUUCUGAUUUGCAUAAAUGUGAGUGGCACUGCAAACCUGAAACCCAGUAUAAUUUUUAGUCAGCUGGAGCUGCACACCUUGGGCUUUUUCCUGUAUCCCUGAAGCCAUACAUCCCUUUCUGCUUCUAUUUUCACUCUGAAGGUCUUUCUCAAGGUCAGUUUUCCUCUGCAAAAAACAAUAAAAUUGUUUUACUAAAGCCUGGAAUGCUUUUU
Molecule: long non-coding RNA, 1347 nt
Filed under: Manacus vitellinus (golden-collared manakin)
Lineage: Eukaryota; Metazoa; Chordata; Aves; Passeriformes; Pipridae
Description: lncRNA (ENSMVIG00005019791.1)
Source: RNAcentral